This 3132-nucleotide long non-coding RNA is filed under the name Pelobates cultripes (western spadefoot toad). Lineage: Eukaryota; Metazoa; Chordata; Amphibia; Anura; Pelobatidae. The record is from RNAcentral.
AAAAAAAAUAAAUAAAAAUGAAAAAAAGAGGGGGGGGGGAACAUUUUUGUAAGCUUUUUGCAAAAUGAAAGGGUUUCCUUUGAUAUUCCCUGUUAUGUUUGGGAGGGGAGAGCAAGUGAUUAAUCCAUGAAAACUUGAAGAAUGCACUUAUCUAGCAAUUUGGGUGGAGGAGAUUAAAACUGUAUUUUCAAAUGUUAUUUUUUUUAUUUUUUUUUUGCACAGAUACAAUUUUUUUUUUAUAAAAAAAAAGUGUAAAAAAAGCAAACAAAAAAAAGCAACCCUCCACCCACCCUGUAAUUUUUUUAUUUUUCUUUACCCCUUCAUCUCUUCACACUAGUUUUUUUAGUGGCUUACAAUCUCUGGUUUGAAAUCCUUAAACCUGUGAAGGAUAUAAUACUGCAGGGGUCAGGAUCCCAAGCAUUACCGAACGCCAGGACUGUCUGACACCACUUACCAAUUCCUGCUCCAAUGACAGGAAGAGCUGUGCGUAUUUUUGUUUUAGUUAUGGGAUUUCGAACCUUUUUUUCCCUUUUUAAAAGGACUAGUCCAAGGUACCUGUACUCUUAUCCUGCUAUCCCGGAACAGUUAUUUGUGUGUUUAAUUUUGAAUCCUGCUUUUGUUUACAAUUGUCCUCAUGGGGGACAUGUCGCUAAUGAACCUGGGCAAAGGAAUUCUUUUGACUUGUGGUGGGGAGAAUAAAUGGAGCUUUGCCAGAAGUGUGCUCACAACCUACCCACUUGGGUAUUUUGUUGGCUGUGAUGGUGUAUGGUGCAGUUGCCUUAAUGUUGACUUCAGAGCACUACAUCACCCACACCACAAAAGUCCUUGGACAGUGUGGGACUAUGUCAUAGGUUUCUGCCCACUUAUACCGUUUGGGACAGUCGCUGUAUUCCUCACUCUUCAAGAGCUUUCUCAGCACUUGAUUAGGAGAACUAUCCUAAAAAACAAGCCACAGACCAGCUUAUCUGAAGAAAGUGAUCUCACAAUUUGUGGGCUCCGUCUGAAAUCUUUGGUCUGUCAAAGGACUUGGACGUCACAGUUGAACAUGAUUAAUUUGAAGCCUGAGACUGACGUCCCCAAGAGUAGCAGUGUUUAAUGGUCCUCCAUAGGGCCAAAGAGACUUGUGUUGUGGAUCCAUGCAGAAAACCUCACCAUCUCCUUCAAAUGAUGUGUGAUCUAUGAACAUUGUUAUGUGUAAAUACAAAUGCAACAGGAAAAACUCUAACUCGCAAAAAUGGGGCUGUUUCAUGCCUACAAAAGCUUGUUCUAAAUUUGUUUAGUUUUUUACUUUAUUUUACUCUUUUGCUGUGGGUUUGAGUUUCUUCUCCGCACGAAUGUAUUAGGGCAGGAGCUGGCAUCCAGCAUUUAAACUGCCCCCCAAAGCCCAGUGUAUGUCUGCACAGAGCCCCAUGUCACUUGGGUGUAGGGUGUUUAUAUGGGGCUGCCAGGAACAAUGAAUCCCUGCACUCACUGUGUGUAAAUAAUGGGGUGUGUACUUAGUAUGGCUUACAGGUGUAUUGUGUUGAAUGUAACGCAAGCAUACCCCCAUGCUGUCUGCUGAGCUCUAUCUGUAUAUAAAUAUAUAUAUAUAGUGUGUGUGUGUGUGUGUAUAGCUAUCGCCAUGUAGAGAGAUACACUCACUUAACUGGAAGUGUACAAUAGUCAGUAGUAAAAUACUCUCAAGCACAGCUUACUCCAUUACAAUUGCCUUGAACCCUUACCAGCCUCAACAGCAGAAGGGGGUGGCAGAGAUUUUUGGGAGUUGUAGUCCUGUAACCACUGGGGUGUGCAUUUGAUGGUGGCUGCUAUGAGGCUUGGAACAGACAGGUAAAAGGUUUUGCUUUUUUUAGCAUACACAAGUCAUGCUAGGUCAGUCUGCGGUAAGCUUGCACUGUCUGGAAUGAACGCUUUGUCCUGCAGUUCGGGAUGUAUGUAUGCAGAUACAUGGAUAUGUACCCAUGUAUGUACUGACACACUAGGUAACUGUAUACAUGAGCUGAUCCGCACACGCCUACAUAGAACUAUACAAACAUGCCUCUGUCAACUGUGGGUAUUUGUGCAUACCAAGGUUUCUGGCCGUAAAGUCUAUACACACGUACAAAAGGUGCCCAAACUAAAUCUAAUGUGAUCCACAUCAAUUCUCACCAGUUAUAUUGGGUGAAAAGGCCUGCAUGUUUGUAUAUACAGAUACAUACACAUUUACAUCAGUCUGUGUGUAUUUACACACAUUUAUAUAAUUUGUUCGGCUGUGUAUACAUGUACUCGCAUACCAUUGGGUAUGUUCCAUCAGUGUGUGUCUAUAGACCUACACAUGUUAACAUGCCUUUUUUUUUGCCUGUUAUUUUCUCUAUUUUGUGAUAAUUUUGCCUUAUUUUUCAGUAUUAAAAAAUUGAAGUGAACUAAAUCUGAGAAUUUUUAUCUAUCCAUUUAGGUUUAAUCUGCAACAGAUUUAGCAAUAAGAGUGAAUAAUGCAGAUUUUGUCAAUUCCUGUUCUGGAGAGUGUAAUUAUAGAAUGCAGAAGUUUUAGGACCUAUUCAAGGAAUAUAAAUGUUCGUAGUAUCAUUGCUGUAAACACUGCCGUCCUGCCUUCUGUCCUACAGGACGUAGAGCUCCCACUGGGAGCUUCUGAUAAAACCCAGCAGCCAAUCAGAUCCUUUCUGUCCUGGGAGCUUAACAGCAGCUUCUUGUUGCAAUUUGAUUAUUUUCUUAAUAUUCCUUGAUGUAUUGUAUAACUUUCAAAAAGGUUUUUUUGUUUCCUUUACACUUUAGUUGGACAGCUGCCAUUUGUGUCGGCUUAGUUCUCUUUUCAAAUAACCUUAUCCUUGUUGGGUUAGAGCAAUGACCAUUUGUUCUUGUAUUACACUUUCUUCAAAUUACUGUUUCCCACCAAGUUUGUUUGAUUCCCAAAGGUAUUUGAAUAUUUGUAAUAUCAAUCACCCUUGCCUACUAUAAAUAAAAACUCUGGUCUAUCUGCUUUGUAAAAAGAAAUUAUAUGAAUUAACUUGUUAGUUGUGUUUUUGUUUUUUUGUUUUGUUAAAUAUAAAUUGCAAGAUCUAUCCAAUCAGAAGAGGCGUCUUGACCCUAUAUCUUACAGAAAUCCCAGUGUGAAAUGGUCUUAUCCCACGAGAGGGG